GCACCACAACGGGUGGAGCUUGCGGUUUAAUCGGACUCAACGCCGGGAAACUCACCAGAUAAGACAGCUGAAUGAUAGUCGGGCUGAAGACUCUACUUGACUAGCUGAGAGGAGGUGCAUGGCCGUCGUCAGUUCGUACUGUGAAGCAUCCUGUUAAGUCAGGCAACGAGCGAGACCCACGCCAACAGUUGCCAGCUCGUCCUCCGGGAUGGUGGGGACACUGUUGGGACCGCCUCUGCUAAAGAGGAGGAAGGAAUGGGCAACGGUAGGUCAGCAUGCCCCGAAUUAUCUGGGCUACACGCGGGCUACAAUGGGUGGGACAAUGGGUAUCGACACCGAAAGGUGAAGGCAAUCUCCUAAACCCAUCCGUAGUUCGGAUUGUGGGCUGCAACUCGCCCACAUGAAGCUGGAAUCUGUAGUAAUCGUGUCUCAAAAUGGCACGGUGAAUAUGUCCCUGCUCCUU
This 463-nucleotide ribosomal RNA is filed under the name uncultured Methanomicrobiales archaeon. RNAcentral's name for it is "bacterial SSU rRNA". It matches the Rfam family "Archaeal small subunit ribosomal RNA", at positions 876 to 1338 of the family's 1478-position model. Lineage: Archaea; Methanobacteriati; Methanobacteriota; Methanomicrobia; Methanomicrobiales. The record is from RNAcentral.